CGCCCAAUACUGAAUCAGGCGAUGCUAAGUCCGUGAAGCCGGCCCGAUCUCUUCGGAGUUGAGGGUAGUGGUGGAGCCGACGAACCAGACUUGUACUAGGUAAGCGAU
This 108-nucleotide ribosomal RNA is filed under the name Streptomyces sp. Its description in RNAcentral is "23S ribosomal RNA". The record is from RNAcentral. Lineage: Bacteria; Bacillati; Actinomycetota; Actinomycetes; Kitasatosporales; Streptomycetaceae.